GAUCAUGGCUCAGGUUGAACGCUGGCGGCAUGCUUUACACAUGCAAGUCGAACGGCAGCACAGGGAGCUUGCUCCCGGGUGGCGAGUGGCGCACGGGUGAGUAAUACAUCGGAACGUGUCCUGUUGUGGGGGAUAACUGCUCGAAAGGGUGGCCAAUACCGCAUGAGACCUGAGGGUGAAAGCGGGGGAUCGCAAGACCUCGCGCAAUUGGGGCGGCCGAUGCCCGAUUAG
RNAcentral lists this ribosomal RNA (231 nucleotides) under uncultured bacterium. RNAcentral describes it as "partial 16S ribosomal RNA". It matches the Rfam family "Bacterial small subunit ribosomal RNA", at positions 15 to 244 of the family's 1533-position model. The record is from RNAcentral.